UAAGGAAUAUUGGACAAUGGACGCAAGUCUGAUCCAGCCAUGCCGCGUGAAGGAUGAAUGCCCUCUGGGUUGUAAACUUCUUUUAUAGGGGAAGAAAGAUACUUUUUUUAAGGUAGUUGACGGUACCCUAUGAAUAAGCACCGGCUAACUCCGUGCCAGCAGCCGCGGUAAUACGGAGGGUGCAAGCGUUAUCCGGAUUUACUAGGUUUAAAGGGUGCGUAGGCGGGCAUGUAAGUCAGUGGUGAAAUACCGGAGCUUAACUUCGGAACUGCCAUUGAUACUAUAUGUCUUGAAUAUUGUGGAGGUAAGCGGAAUAUGUCAUGUAGCGGUGAAAUGCAUAGAUAUGACAUAGAACACCAAUUGCGGAGGCAGCUUGCUACGCAAAUAUUGACGCUGAGGCACGAAAGCGUGGGGAUCAAACA
RNAcentral lists this ribosomal RNA (422 nucleotides) under uncultured bacterium. RNAcentral's name for it is "bacterial SSU rRNA". It matches the Rfam family "Bacterial small subunit ribosomal RNA", at positions 355 to 774 of the family's 1533-position model. The record is from RNAcentral.